UACGUAGGGUGCAAGCGUUGCCCGGAUUUAUUGGGCGUAAAGGGCGCGUAGGCGGCUCUGCACGUUCGUUGUGAAAUCGCCCGGCUCAACUGGGCGGGGUCAGCGGAUACGGCAGAGCUUGAGCAAGCUAGGGGGCAAUGGAAUUCUUGGUGUAGCGGUGAAAUGCGUAGAUAUCAAGAGGAACACCUGCGGCGAGGGCGGGUUGCUGGGCCGACACUGACGCUGAGGCGCGAAAGCCAGGGGAGCGAACGGG
This 253-nucleotide ribosomal RNA is filed under the name uncultured bacterium. RNAcentral describes it as "partial 16S ribosomal RNA". It matches the Rfam family "Bacterial small subunit ribosomal RNA", at positions 524 to 776 of the family's 1533-position model. The record is from RNAcentral.